RNAcentral lists this ribosomal RNA (254 nucleotides) under uncultured bacterium. RNAcentral's name for it is "partial 16S ribosomal RNA". It matches the Rfam family "Bacterial small subunit ribosomal RNA", at positions 524 to 776 of the family's 1533-position model. The record is from RNAcentral.
CACGUAGGGGGCAAGCGUUGUCCGGAUUUAUUGGGCGUAAAGAGCUCGUAGGCUGUUCGAUAAGUCGGGUGUGAAACCUCCAGGCUCAACCUGGAGACGCCACCCGAUACUGUCAUGACUAGAGUCCGGUAGGGGAGCGUGGAAUUCCUGGUGUAGCGGUGAAAUGCGCAGAUAUCAGGAGGAACACCAGUGGCGAAGGCGGCCACCUAGCCCGCACCUGACGCUGAGGCGCGACAGCGUGGGGAGCGAACUGG